Molecule: ribosomal RNA, 330 nt
Filed under: Triticum aestivum (bread wheat)
Lineage: Eukaryota; Viridiplantae; Streptophyta; Magnoliopsida; Poales; Poaceae
Description: partial small subunit ribosomal RNA
Source: RNAcentral
AUGAAACUGCAGUUCACAAGUUCAACCCCUUCCACGAGUUUUGCACAAGCAGCAGCUGCAGCGCAAGCUGGUGCAUCCGUCGUACAAAUAUUUGUGGGAUGUACUCGGGAUUGGGCAAAGAAUCACUCUGGUGACCCAGAGAUAGAUGAAGCUUUAAAGAAGGGAGAAGAUGCUGGGCUUGCCUUAGUUAGCAUCAAUUACCAUAUCAUUUUUGUGUUUAUCAGCAUAAGCCAAUAUCUGGAAGCAAGGCUUCUUUACUCUGUAGUCCUACAAUUUUUAAUGUUCCUGGUGUCACUUUCCCCAGUAGCUAUGUUUUGUGCUAAAAAGUGA